GGAGGGAGAGGAGAGGAACAGGUCGAGGGGGACAGAAGAAAGGGAGGGAGAGGAGAGGAACAGGUCGAGGGGGACAGAAGAAAGGGAGGAAGAGGAACAGGUCGAGGGGGGCAGAAGAAAGGGAGGGAGAGGAACAGGUCGAGGGGGACAGAAGAAAGGGAGGAGAGGAACAUGUCGAGGGGGACAGAAGAAAGGGAGGGAGAGGAGAGGAACAGGUCGAGGGGGACAGAAGAAAGGGAGGAAGAGGAACAGGUCGAGGGGGACAGAAGAAAGGGAGGGAGAGGAGAGGAACAGGUCAAGGGGGACAGAAGAAAGGGAGGGAGAGGAGAGGAACAGGUCGAGAGGGACAGAAGAAAGGGAGGAGAGGAGAGGAACAGGUCGAGGGGGACAGAAGAAAGUGAGGGAGAGGAACAGGUCGAGGGGGCAGAAGAAAGGGAGGGAGAGGAACAGGUCGAGGGGGACAGAAGAAAGGGAGGAGAGGAACAUGUCGAGGGGGACAGAAGAAAGGGAGGGAGAGGAGAGGAACAGGUCGAGGGGGACAGAAGAAAGGGAGGGAGAGGAACAGGUCGAGGGGGACAGAAGAAAGGGAGGGAGAGGAGAGGAUCAGGUCGAGGGGGACAGAAGAAAGGGAGGGAGAGGAGAGGAACAGGUCCAGGGGGACAGAAGGAAGGAAGGAAGGGAGAGGAGAGGAACAGGUCGAGGGUGACAGAAGAAAGGGAGAGAGAGGAGAGGAUCAGGUCGAGGGGGACAGAAGAAAGGGAGAGAGAGGAGAG
Molecule: long non-coding RNA, 773 nt
Organism: Oncorhynchus tshawytscha (Chinook salmon)
Lineage: Eukaryota; Metazoa; Chordata; Actinopteri; Salmoniformes; Salmonidae
Source: Ensembl